Molecule: ribosomal RNA, 314 nt
Filed under: uncultured bacterium
Lineage: Bacteria
Description: partial 16S ribosomal RNA
Rfam family: Bacterial small subunit ribosomal RNA
Source: RNAcentral
UUAUAAGAGACAGCAGCCGCCGCGGUAAAACGUAGGUGGCAAGCGUUGUCCGGAAUUAUUGGGCGUAAAGGGCUCGCAGGCGGUUUCUUAAGUCUGAUGUGAAAGCCCCCGGCUCAACCGGGGAGGGUCAUUGGAAACUGGGAAACUUGAGUGCAGAAGAGGAGAGUGGAAUUCCACGUGUAGCGGUGAAAUGCGUAGAGAUGUGGAGGAACACCAGUGGCGAAGGCGACUCUCUGGUCUGUAACUGACGCUGAGGAGCGAAAGCGUGGGGAGCGAACAGGAUUAGAGACCCCUGUAGUCCCUGUCUCUUAUAC